RNAcentral lists this ribosomal RNA (601 nucleotides) under Veronia pacifica. Its description in RNAcentral is "bacterial SSU rRNA". It matches the Rfam family "Bacterial small subunit ribosomal RNA", at positions 81 to 678 of the family's 1533-position model. Lineage: Bacteria; Pseudomonadati; Pseudomonadota; Gammaproteobacteria; Vibrionales; Vibrionaceae. The record is from RNAcentral.
ACCUUCGGCGUCGAGCGGCGGACGGGUGAGUAAUGGCUGGGUACCUGCCCUGAUGUGGGGGAUAACAGUUGGAAACGACUGCUAAUACCGCAUAACGUCUACGGACCAAAGAGGGGGAUCUUCGGACCUCUCGCGUCAGGAUGGGCCCAGUUGGGAUUAGCUAGUUGGUGAGGUAAUGGCUCACCAAGGCAACGAUCCCUAGCUGGUUUGAGAGGAUGAUCAGCCACACUGGAACUGAGACACGGUCCAGACUCCUACGGGAGGCAGCAGUGGGGAAUAUUGCACAAUGGGGGAAACCCUGAUGCAGCCAUGCCGCGUGUGUGAAGAAGGCCUUCGGGUUGUAAAGCACUUUCAGCUGUGAGGAAGGGUGAGACGUUAAUAGCGGUUUAUCUUGACGUUAGCAGCAGAAGAAGCACCGGCUAACUCCGUGCCAGCAGCCGCGGUAAUACGGAGGGUGCGAGCGUUAAUCGGAAUUACUGGGCGUAAAGCGCAUGCAGGCGGUCUGUUAAGCAAGAUGUGAAAGCCCCGGGCUCAACCUGGGAAAGUCAUUUUGAACUGGCAGGCUAGAGUCUUGUAGAGGGGGGUAGAAUUUCAGGUGUAG